AACGAACGCUGGCGGCAUGCCUAACACAUGCAAGUCGAACGAGAUCUUCGGAUCUAGUGGCGCACGGGUGCGUAACGCGUGGGAAUCUGCCCCUUGCUUCGGAAUAACAGUGAGAAAUUACUGCUAAUACCGGAUGAUGUCUCCGGACCAAAGAUUUAUCGGCAAGGGAUGAGCCCGCGUAGGAUUAGGUAGUUGGUGGGGUAAUGGCCUACCAAGCCGACGAUCCUUAGCUGGUCUGAGAGGAUGAUCAGCCACACUGGGACUGAGACACGGCCCAGACUCCUACGGGAGGCAGCAGUGGGGAAUAUUGGACAAUGGGCGAAAGCCUGAUCCAGCAAUGCCGCGUGAGUGAUGAAGGCCUUAGGGUUGUAAAGCUCUUUUACCAGGGAUGAUAAUGACAGUACCUGGAGAAUAAGCUCCGGCUAACUCCGU
RNAcentral lists this ribosomal RNA (432 nucleotides) under uncultured bacterium. Its description in RNAcentral is "partial 16S ribosomal RNA". It matches the Rfam family "Bacterial small subunit ribosomal RNA", at positions 29 to 506 of the family's 1533-position model. The record is from RNAcentral.